RNAcentral lists this ribosomal RNA (406 nucleotides) under uncultured bacterium. Its description in RNAcentral is "partial 16S ribosomal RNA". It matches the Rfam family "Bacterial small subunit ribosomal RNA", at positions 30 to 526 of the family's 1533-position model. The record is from RNAcentral.
AUUGAACGCUGGCGGCAGGCCUAACACAUGCAAGUCGAGCGAGCGGCGGACGGGUGAGUAAUGUCUGGGAAACUGCCUGAUGGAGGGGGAUAACUACUGGAAACGGUAGCUAAUACCGCAUACCAUCAGAUGUGCCCAGAUGGGAUUAGCUAGUAGGUGGGGUAAUGGCUCACCUAGGCGACGAUCCCUAGCUGGUCUGAGAGGCUGACCAGCCACACUGGGACUGAGACACGGUCCAGACUCCUACGGGAGGCAGCGGUAGGGAAUAUUGCACAAUGGGAGCAAGCCUGAUGCAGCCAUGCCGCGUGUGUGAAGAAGGCCUUCGGGUUGUAAAGCACGUUCAGCGGAGAGGCGGUACUCGCAGAAGAAGCACCGGCUAACUCCGUGCCAGCCGCCGCGGUAAUUC